RNAcentral lists this ribosomal RNA (253 nucleotides) under uncultured bacterium. RNAcentral describes it as "partial 16S ribosomal RNA". It matches the Rfam family "Bacterial small subunit ribosomal RNA", at positions 524 to 776 of the family's 1533-position model. The record is from RNAcentral.
UACGAAGGGUGCAAGCGUUACUCGGAAUUACUGGGCGUAAAGCGUGCGUAGGUGGUUCGUUAAGUCUGAUGUGAAAGCCCUGGGCUCAACCUGGGAAUGGCAUUGGAAACUGGCGACCUAGAGUGCGGUAGAGGGUAGUGGAAUUCCCGGUGUAGCAGUGAAAUGCGUAGAUAUCGGGAGGAACAUCCGUGGCGAAGGCGGCCACCUGGACCAACAUUGACGCUGAGGCACGAAAGCGUGGGGAGCAAACAGG